GCUUGGGUGGCUCAGUCAGUUGAGCGCCUGACUUUGGCUCAGGUCGUGAUCUCGCGGUCUGUGAGUUUGAGCCCCACGUCGGGCU
RNAcentral lists this transfer RNA (85 nucleotides) under Felis catus (domestic cat). It matches the Rfam family "tRNA". From Rfam's summary of the family: Transfer RNA (tRNA) molecules are approximately 80 nucleotides in length. Their secondary structure includes four short double-helical elements and three loops (D, anti-codon, and T loops). The record is from Rfam by way of RNAcentral. Lineage: Eukaryota; Metazoa; Chordata; Mammalia; Carnivora; Felidae.